This 781-nucleotide ribosomal RNA is filed under the name uncultured bacterium. RNAcentral's name for it is "bacterial SSU rRNA". It matches the Rfam family "Bacterial small subunit ribosomal RNA", at positions 98 to 895 of the family's 1533-position model. The record is from RNAcentral.
GCGAAUGGGUGAGUAACGCGUUGGUGACCUACCCCAAAGAGAGGAAUAACUCCGGGAAACUGGAGCUAAUACCCCAUGUGGUUACCAGGGUUAGAGGCCUGGCAACUGAAGGAGCAAUCCACUUUGGGAGGGACCUGCGUCCCAUCAGCUAGUUGGUAGGGUAACGGCCUACCAAGGCGACGACGGGUAGGGGGCCUGAGAGGGUGGCCCCCCACACUGGCACUGAAACACGGGCCAGACACCUACGGGUGGCAGCAGUAGGGAAUAUUGCACAAUGGGCGAAAGCCUGAUGCAGCAACGCCGCGUGCGCGAUGAAGACCUUCGGGUUGUAAAGCGCUUUUAUGAAGGACGAGGAAGGACGGUACUUCAAGAAUAAGGAUCGGCUAACUACGUGCCAGCAGCCGCGGUAAUACGUAGGAUCCGAGCGUUAUCCGAAUUUACUGGGCGUAAAGCGCGUGUAGGCGGUUUGAUAAGUUGGAUGUGAAAGCUCCCGGCUCAACUGGGAGAGGCCGUUCAAAACUAUCAGACUUGAGGACGGUAGAGGGAGGUAGAAUUCCCGGUGUAGUAGUGAAAUGCGUAGAUAUCGGGAGGAAUACCAGUGGCGAAGGCGGCCUCCUGGACCGUUCCUGACGCUCAGACGCGAAAGCUAGGGGAGCGAACGGGAUUAGAAACCCCGGUAGUCCUAGCUGUAAACGAUGCAAACUUGGUGUUGGUGGGGUAAAAUCCGCCGGUGCGGAGCUAACGCGAUAGUUUGCCGCCUGGGGACUACGGCCGCAAGGUU